This 1343-nucleotide ribosomal RNA is filed under the name uncultured bacterium. RNAcentral describes it as "16S ribosomal RNA". It matches the Rfam family "Bacterial small subunit ribosomal RNA", at positions 28 to 1378 of the family's 1533-position model. The record is from RNAcentral.
GACGAACGCUGGCGGCGUGCUUAACACAUGCAAGUCGAACGGAAAGGCCCUGCUUUUGUGGGGUGCUCGAGUGGCGAACGGGUGAGUAACACGUGAGUAACCUGCCCUUGACUUUGGGAUAACUUCAGGAAACUGGGGCUAAUACCGGAUAGGAGCUCCUGCCGCAUGGUGGGGGUUGGAAAGUUUCGGCGGUUGGGGAUGGACUCGCGGCUUAUCAGCUUGUUGGUGGGGUAGUGGCUUACCAAGGCUUUGACGGGUAGCCGGCCUGAGAGGGUGACCGGCCACAUUGGGACUGAGAUACGGCCCAGACUCCUACGGGAGGCAGCAGUGGGGAAUAUUGCACAAUGGGCGGAAGCCUGAUGCAGCAACGCCGCGUGCGGGAUGACGGCCUUCGGGUUGUAAACCGCUUUCGCCUGUGACGAAGCGUGAGUGACGGUAAUGGGUAAAGAAGCACCGGCUAACUACGUGCCAGCAGCCGCGGUGAUACGUAGGGUGCGAGCGUUGUCCGGAUUUAUUGGGCGUAAAGGGCUCGUAGGUGGUUGAUCGCGUCGGAAGUGUAAUCUUGGGGCUUAACCCUGAGCGUGCUUUCGAUACGGGUUGACUUGAGGAAGGUAGGGGAGAAUGGAAUUCCUGGUGGAGCGGUGGAAUGCGCAGAUAUCAGGAGGAACACCAGUGGCGAAGGCGGUUCUCUGGGCCUUUCCUGACGCUGAGGAGCGAAAGCGUGGGGAGCGAACAGGCUUAGAUACCCUGGUAGUCCACGCUGUAAACGGUGGGUACUAGGUGUGGGGUCCAUUCCACGGGUUCCGUGCCGUAGCUAACGCUUUAAGUACCCCGCCUGGGGAGUACGGCCGCAAGGCUAAAACUCAAAGGAAUUGACGGGGCCCCGCACAAGCGGCGGAGCAUGCGGAUUAAUUCGAUGCAACGCGUAGAACCUUACCUGGGUUUGACAUGGAUCGGGAGUGCUCAGAGAUGGGUGUGCCUCUUUUGGGGUCGGUUCACAGGUGGUGCAUGGCUGUCGUCAGCUCGUGUCGUGAGAUGUUGGGUUAAGUCCCGCAACGAGCGCAACCCCUGUUCACUGUUGCCAGCACGUUAUGGUGGGGACUCAGUGGAGACCGCCGGGGUCAACUCGGAGGAAGGUGGGGAUGACGUCAAGUCAUCAUGCCCCUUAUGUCCAGGGCUUCACGCAUGCUACAAUGGCUGGUACAGAGAGUGGCGAGCCUGUGAGGGUGAGCGAAUCUCGGAAAGCCGGUCUCAGUUCGGAUUGGGGUCUGCAACUCGACCUCAUGAAGUCGGAGUCGCUAGUAAUCGCAGAUCAGCAACGCUGCGGUGAAUACGUUCCCGGG